GGCCUCAAGUAUAGCAGAUCAAUACUCUGAGCUUGAGUAGUGUUCAUUCCUCCUAAUCCUAAGCGUGCUGUUUUGUAAGUAUAUUAAACAUAAAGGGAUUGUGGGAUAGAUCUGAAGGCUUAUUUGGGGUGGUUCUCUUAAUUUUAAGUUGUAAUUAGAAGUUACAACUAACAUUUUUAGAAAUAAAUUAAUCUCGCGAAGCUAGUAGUGGGCUCUUGCCACAGUAUUUAUUAAGAUGGAUUAUGCCCUGCAUUUUUGAAGGCUGUAAGUAGGCAACAAAAGACUAUGUAGUGUCCUGAAGUCGAUUUGAAAGUAUUUUAAAUGCUUUUUCCAUUAACAAUAUAUAUUUUCAAACUCUUGGAAACCACAAGAAGCAGGCAUUUUAAAAAAUAGACAUGGUUGUUCACUUUAUAUUCCCCAUCUCCCCUGAUUUUCUCUAGAAUUUUAUUUUAUGCUGGGUUAUGAGGUUAAUGGUAGUGUACUCAAAUUUUCUUGUAUACACUAACAAAUGGGUAAAAGUGGUCAAGGGAGACAGAAUACGGUUGGUCUCUGAGAUUCAAGUGAUCUUUUAGGUUAGCACUUCUUGCUAUUGAAAUGCAGUACACAACAUGAUGACCACCACCACAUUAGCUGUACUGUUACACUAAUCCUGUUGCAUCACAAAAACUGAACACCGUGUGGACAAGACUGCAAAGAAGAAAAUAUCGUAGGGACUUUUGCUUUUGAGAGCCAGUGCUUGUACAGCCAGAUGGCUUAGCUCCCUGUUACAUAGGGAUGUACUCCACACAUAGCAAGCAUCUGACAGGAAGCUGCCCAGCAAAACUUAAUUAUUCUAUCUGGCAGGGGAAGGUGGUGCGGCCAUCAAAUUCUCAGGUUUGAUCCCAAUGAUACAUGCACUCCUUCCUUGGUGUUGAUGAUGGGUGCUUGUCUUCCUUGUCUUCCUCUUCCUCCCCUCCUAUCUUUGCAAAACUUUCAAAGCCACUUGGGUUCCUUGCAAGAAGGAGGAGGGCAGGAUAGAUAUGCAAUAUAAUAAUCCCAUAGCAUUUAAAUUAGGAACUAUUUUGUAUAUAAAUGAGAGAUCACUGCUAAAGUUGUUUAAAAUGUGGCACUGUUAUUGCUUCCUGUACGCCUGAGUUUUCAUUCUAUUUUUACUUUCUAGUCUUACCUUUAUUAAAGUGCUUAAUGUGGAACUUAGGGGCUAGUGUGUCCUUUUGGUAAGUCCAAGGUUUUAAUUCUUCACAUGGCUUAUUGCUGUACUACAGUUCUAGAUAGGAAGCAAUAUGAAGGGGACCAGGGUUGGCUCAGCCUUGGGAAAGCGGAGUCAACUAGUGGCUGCCCCCUCUGUCCUACCUAAAGUCAGCACAAGCAUUCCAGGGUGCUGCUCAACCAAGACUAGAGAAAAUUGAGAAGAGGCAUUUUAAAAGGGGUUGGACAGAUGUGGAUGGAUUGUGGACUAACAACAGUUCUGAUCUUUUGUGCCAUAACUAUGUCCUGGUGAAGGAGGUAGUUUGAUCACAGGGAUUUACUUUGAAGGGGACUGCAGCUGCCCUUUUUAAUAGGCAUGGAUAUUGGGACUAAACUACUGUAGCAGUAUAUCAGCUGUCUUUGCCUAGGUUGCCUACAUAUCUUGUUAUGUAUACCUGUAAGUAUUCUAUCAGUAGCCAAGGUUCACACUUGAAAGUAACUUAAACCCAAAAUAAGUUCUGGAAUGAUAUAAUGAUCUACUUUAAAAGUGAGUAAUUUUCUUCUAGCCUUGGGGAAUAAUUCAUUAUACUCCCAAGUCCUCACUGAACAGCGCAAAAAUUGUAUUUUUUAGUGGCAUGUGGUCAAAAAUGAAAAACAGGCUUUUCUGUGAGAAUCUGGCUCGGUUUGUGCACCAAAGAAUGUGUAUGGGGAAGGGCCAUCCCCCUGUUAGAGGCCUGCAGAAUAAGUAACUGUAGGAAACAGUCAUAUAUUGCUUGAAUGAAAUGACCUGGAAAUGUAAUAUAACACUGUUCUCUGUGGCAUCCUUCCUGAUAAUUUUCAGAGUAGAAUAAAGGAGCAUUGGCUUCACUGGAUGUAGCAUAAUUAUUCCAGAUAUCAAGAACUGGACAGGAGAAGAUUCUUCACUUGAAAGGCUAGAAAGGAGAGUGGUGGGGUACCUGAUAAUAGGCAUCAGGAGCUUUUCUUUCCAGCUCUGAGUAGAUUUGCAAUUCAUGCUAAUUUAAUAAAGGUCUUUUAACUAGCAUACUUGGGGGAACUACUAUGCUGAAGGCUAGUAAUUUAAAUAAUUAGAACUUCCUACUGAAUGAAUGGGUAGCAAGAGUUUGUGGUAGUCGUGGUCAUAACUGUGACCACUGUGACAUAGUUUGUGGUCACUACUGUGUCUUGUCUAGAAUUCCACACUAACCCUCCAGAUUUUGCAACUGAAAUACAAUUAAAUCAGGCAAGUUGAUACAGCUUGCUUAGACAUAAGUAAUUUUUGACUUGUAAAUGAGGCUUUGCACCAUCUUUGCAAUAUCAAGCAUUGGCUGUGAUGAGGAAGGUAUUCAUGAUACCGUAAUGUAUGGGGAAGGAGUAAGUAGGUGAAAGUAACAGUGUAUGUACAAGAUUCUUUCUGAUCCUUUGGCCAAAAACAAGGUGGUGGUGCUGGUUUUCAGUAUUUCUCCAGAACUAUGUAGAAAUAACUUUGUAGCGUACCUUAUGAAGACAGUUGACUUUCAGGACCUUUUGGACCCAGCAGAAUUCAGAACCCAGUGAUUUGAGCCCAAGAUAAUGGCUGUAAUGCCUUGGAUCCCUUAGAAUCCAAAAAGCAAGGGUGGGAAGAGAGGUUUUUGGGGGGGGGGGCAAAUUGCACCACAGGCUGGAGAUCAGUAAGUGCAACCACAUCCACUGGUUACUCCGCACAUUUUGACAUUCUCAGUGCUGAAAAAGGGACUUGGCAACAGCAAUUCCUCCUGGCAUGGCUGAGUCCCAAUAGCAUCUUUAUAUUGGUAUUACACACUAUGUAGAUGGACUUAGCUUGGAUGAGGAAGAGCAUCUGCUCCUUCCGGAGCCAGUCAAAUGCCUUGUGGCUAGCAUCCAUACUGAUCACUAAAAUCCCCAUCUCUUCAUGCAUCUCCCCAGUCCAGGAAAUGUUAGGAAUUGUAGCAUACCCAAGAAAAUUGAACAAUUUGUUGAAUGAGUUUAUGUAUGAACUAACCAUGAUGGCCUAAGACUUGAAAAGGCCAUGAGAGACCUCAGUGCUGAGUAAGUUCAUAUUGAAUGCUAGAGCUCUCUUGUUUACCCUGAUCAAUCUGUAAGCAUUUUUAUGGUUAACAAAAGGAAUAAAACUGUGAAAAAAGGAAAAUGUGAUAUUGAUGUAAUAUUUUGAUGUUCUUGCAGCAACUGAUGUUCAAGUACAUUGAUGAGAAUGGGACAUAAAUAAGAAGAACCUCAAAGGCAAUUUAGUUCUAGUUAUAUCCUUACAUAGCUAAAUCACAGACCUAAACUUCAUUUGACUGUUCAUUUUUUCCAUACUGGAAAUUGCACAACUUUCUCAAGUUGUUCUUGGUUAAUCUCUAUAUUAUCACCAGUUUGUGACUCCCAUGACAUAGAAAGCAGCUUGCUGUGGAGAUCACCACUCGCUUAAAGGAACGCCAUAUUAACAUUGGUCUAUAAAAUUCAAAGUAUAAGGAAUGUACCAGCCCAAGUGGAGAUUGGGAGGGGUAAGCAUGAUAGCCAGAUCAACUAGGAGUGCAAAAACACAAUGCUUCAGAACUAGGACUCUUUCUGUCGCAGAACAGGAAGGAAACUGCCUUACUGCAAGGAAUAAUAUGUCUGUUUCUCUAUGGGAUUUCUCCAUCCACACUACUUGUGAGUUCCCUUUCCAUCUUUUAACAUCUGACAGCAGAAACCAGCUGCCAGGAAAGCACCAUCAGUAUCCCACUGUAAUAACCCUUUUGUUUUUACUGCGCUGAAUAAACAACUAUAAAUAUGACAUUCAAAAACUCACCCCCUGCCUUCACCCACAGCUGGGAAAUCGCCCGGCCUUUCCAAAAAGUGGCUUUCUAGAUACUUGGCAGAUAAUUCCAGAUAAAAGUGAUGAGCUAGACCACUGCUCUGACUGGUUGUUAAUCCGUUCUAGACAGCAAAGCCUAGAUUCAUCCGAAGAACAUCUUUGCCUCUACGGGAACUUGUGGUAAGUAGCACUCAUUUUCAAAACCAUGUGCCGACCAAGGCUGCUUGAUAUUCCCCACAGAGCUAUGAAAGGUGAGUGAAUAAUCAUUACCUCAGGUUCCUAAUUCUGAGAAGGGGGCCUUGAUUACCCAGGAAGUUGGUUGCAAGUAAGGCAGGAUCACUAACAGAAGGUAUAAGCCAGGAUGUUAACGUACUAUCCAUUUUCAACUACUGUGUGGGUAUGCAUUGCCCCACAGUCUUUGGCUAGGAUACAUAGUCUGAAACUCAACCAGCAUAUGUUUUACUUAUUUAGGAAAGGAAGUACCCCUUGUCAUCUAUUCCUGCUGCUACCCUCUGAAGAUUAAACUGGUAUUCUAGGUUGAAAGAUCCUCUAUUUGACAACCAUAACCAUCUUGUCUUUUAACCAGAUGCUUUCAGAUACAUAGCUACCUUCCUCAGAUACAGUGUUGGUCAAAUAUUAAAAACGUGGCUUAAAACAGAUAAAUUACUCCCUCUUAUGCCCCAAUAUGCACAGAAUCCAUUGUACCGUUCCAAUGUAUGUUGUCAGGUGGAGUUCCUAACCAAAGUUCAUAAUGGUUUGCAGUAUCAGGGUGGUAGUUAAUCUACACAAGAAGUGAAGGAUGAGGUUUGCUAUAGGCUACACUGCUUCUUUGUGGACACUGAAGAAAAUCACUGUGUUUGAAACAUAAUGCUGAAGGACAGCUUUACAAAUACCCUGGACUGACAGAAAGAUGAAUUAGUGGGCCCUACAUUAAAUCAAGCCAGAAACUGCCCUGGAAGCAAAAUUCCAAAACAGGUUACUUCGAGCACAUCAUGAGAAGGCAAGACUCAACCAGGAAAGAAAAUAAUGCUUGGCAGAGUCAAGGACAGAAGAAGGAAUAGUACAAGAAGAGGAUUACUAAAUAUGAGAUAGCUUGAUUCCACGAAGAAAGCCACAGUUUUGAAUACAAGAGUUGAGCAAGGCUGUUGAAGGAGGACAUUUUGGAGGGCUUUCAUUCAUAGAGUCUCCAUCGAUGUCACAUAACUGCCUAAUCCUACUAAUGCAAAAAAGUUUAAGUGGCAACCCCCCCCCCUUAAACUUCCUUUUAUUGUUUCCUUCAAAUUCAAAAAGCAGAAGUUGCUUGACCUUCUUACCACUCCUUCCACAGCCAUUCUUUCCAGGGGUAUUCACUUUUCACCUUGUCAUUUUGAAAAAGAAAAACAAAAUUAUUACUCAGUAGCAAAGAAUACGCUCAUGAUCCUCAUUAGAAUAAAACAAUGGAGUCAUUUUCCAAAUUGCAUUGUUCUUGUCUUGAGGUUGCUGUUUGUUUGUGGAUGGGGCAAACCCUGAGUUCUAGGAGUAAACUGAAUAAAACAUUGCUUUAGCUGGUGUCCGACCACUGGCCUAUCCAAGCUCAGCUGUGACUGCAGCCUUCAGCCUGCUGCGUUCUAGAUGGGUUAGUGGUUAAUGCUCAUUAACCACAUAAACACAUCUGGAAAGCAUCCCAUCGGGGAAGCCUGGGAUAAAGUAAUCUCACCCGUUUCUAUACCAAAAAGACAAAACACCCGCCCUUCAAGUCUUUUCAUCGCUUCCAUCAGCUUCAUGAUGCUGGGAGUUGUAAUCCUGCACAUUUGGAAGGCAUCAAGUUGGAGAAGUCCGGUCAGCCGACGCACACCUUCCCCUGGUUUCAGGCUGGGUCUUCCUCCAGAUACCUGGGACUGAAGCAGAGACCUUGCAGCGCACUGCGCCCCCCCCGCCCCCCGCAUAGGACAAACCUUUGGAACAGGCCACCCACCCACGCCUUGCCAACAGAGCGGAGCUACAGCGCGAACCGGGCAGAAAAACUAUCCUGAAGAUUUCCUCGACUCCUGAAAUCUUUCAUCCCGGAUUGCUCUCCACUCCACGGCUGAAUAUUCGUUUCGUUUCAGAAUCGCCAAUGCUUUAAACAGUCCCUUUUUCCUUAAGAGCAAGCACGCGACGUAAGUCGUCUUUUAAGAAAUUGCGAGGGAUUCCUUUGAGAGAGGGAUUUCCCAGAACAGAAUUUGCAAAGGCAAGUGCAACCUCCGCGUUACCUGAUGGGAGGUGCGCCGGUGUCUCCUCCCACCAGCUCGGAUGGGGUCUUCCUAUAGGGGAGCGAUCGGCGUUGCGGUCGGGGCGGGCCAGCCAAGCCGGGUAGGGGUGGCAAGCACGGCCGCUUCCUGUUUCCUCCUCUUCUAGCUUGCCUUUUCUGUGCAGGCAUGGCUGCCUUCUUAAAUCUGCAAAGCUUCGUCGAUGCGGUUAAGCCGUCGAUAUGCACUAGCCGCUUCGUAUUCGGAUGUGAGCUGAAUGGUAGUGCCCGAUCCUACACUUUUAAAGUGUCUGAAGAGGAUGACUCUGAUCACUUUCUAGCUCUGAAUAUGGUUUGCCUGUCAGAAGCAGCCAAGGAUGAAUGCAACAUUGUGGAGGUUGUAGGACGUGACUACCAGAACAAGGAGAUCGUUGUGCCAGUAGCCAACUUGAAGCUGUCAUGCCAGCCCUGGUUAUGUUUAGACAAUUUUGAGUUCCAACCUCCAGUGACCUUUCGUCUACGUUCAGGAUCUGGCCCUGUCCACCUUGCAGGACAGCACCAAAUAUUUCACAGAAAGGAUCUUUCAGAAGAUGAUGAGGAGGAGGACGAGGAGGAGGAUUUUAGUGAGGCCGAUGAGUCUUUAGAAGGGGAAGAAGAGCUGCCGCCUAUCAAACCAGCCAAGAAGCAACAGAAGUCUUAGCUCGGCUUCCCUAGAGGUACUCGAUGGGUUCAGCUGGCCAGAGAGCACCUGCAAAAGAAUCGCCAUUCCAUUCUUGGGUUUUCAGAACGAAUGAUUGCAGGAUUUUUAGCCCAUCCAGCUUGUGGAAGGCUGUCCUAGACCUGUGGAGGUGCUGCUGAUUUAAUUCUUCAUGUGAUGCCUUGUUGCUGUUCUCCGGCUAAAUAUCACAAAAGUAUUUUCUUGUAUUGCCUUGCCUGGGACUGAUGGCCAAUGGAAGUAAUUAGCACUACUCAUUCCAGGAAUGCAGGGAAGGCUGCUCUGCUUGAGGAGAUGCCGGAGAGUUACUAGCACCUUUCAGGAACUUUUUCCCUAGGAAGACUGGUAGCUACUGUGCACCCUUCUGAGCACACCUUAUUGGUGCUUAGAACGAGUCCCAAGCACCAGCCGACUGCUGCUGUUGAUGUGUGUUGAGUUAUUUCUCCAGGAGAAGUUGUUAAGAGAGCCUCAAUUUCCCCAUGCAUUUUACACUCUUUUUUUAAAGGACAUGUUCCUUCCAAAAUGGGUAAUGCCACUGAGUUCACUUCUGGAAGAAUAUUUUUCUGUGGGUCAGUUGCGGCCUCCAUAUGUAUUGAGCUAUAAUGUGCGCCAUCUGGAGGGCACCAGAUUGGGGAAAUUGCUCUUAGGGAGGCAUCUGAUCCUCCACCUCCUCACCAUCAAAAUACUUGCAGGAUUUGCUUUAUGGAAAAGUAUAGAUCUUUUAUUUUCCUACUGUGUUAACCAAAUUAUAAAUGUCCUUAUACGGGGCUUUUUAAAAAUCCAUUUACUAAUUCAUCUUGUACCACUGAAAGUGACUGUGUUGCCACCUGUUUUACUGCUUUUUCCCCCUUGAUGCCCAAAGAAGUUCAUUAGCUUGUCAUAGGGCAGGACUUCCAAAUGUCCAUGUUGUAUUUAAAUCUUGUGGCCAUAGUUGUUCCGCACUGUUGUGCCUCCACUUCUUAACAAAGGUGUCUUGCUUUUUAAAAUAAACACGUUUGUAAUACAU
RNA transcript from Varanus komodoensis (Komodo dragon), 7906 nucleotides. It is a transcript of the gene named nucleophosmin/nucleoplasmin 3, with no coding region annotated. The record is from RefSeq and is a predicted model, not a curated record. NCBI's taxonomy places the organism in Eukaryota, Metazoa, Chordata, Lepidosauria, Squamata, Varanidae. The transcript has 6 exons.